AGUGAACGCUGGCGGCAGGCCUAAUACAUGCAAGUCGAACGGCAGCACAGCAGAGCUUGCUCUGUGGGUGGCGAGUGGCGGACGGGUGAGGAAUACAUGGGAAUCUGCCCAGUCGUGGGGGAUAACGUAGGGAAACUUACGCUAAUACCGCAUGCGCCCUUCGGGGGAAAGCCGGGGACCUUCGGGCCUGGCGCGAUUGGAUGAGCCCAUGUCGGAUUAGCUAGUGGGCGGGGUAAAGGCCCACCAAGGCGACGAUCCGUAGCUGGUCUGAGAGGAUGGUCAGCCGCACUGGAACUGGGACACGGUCCAGACUCCUACGGGAGGCAGCAGUAGGGAAUAUUGGACAAUGGGCGCAAGCCUGAUCCAGCCAUGCCGCGUGAGUGAAGAAGGCCCUCGGGUUGUAAAGCUCUUUUGUCCGGAAAGAAAAGCGCCGGGUUAAUACCCUGGUGUCCUGACGGUACCGGAAGAAUAAGCACCGGCUAACUUCGUGCCAGCAGCCGCCGUAA
Molecule: ribosomal RNA, 506 nt
Filed under: uncultured bacterium
Lineage: Bacteria
Description: partial 16S ribosomal RNA
Rfam family: Bacterial small subunit ribosomal RNA
Source: RNAcentral